RNAcentral lists this ribosomal RNA (434 nucleotides) under uncultured Lachnospiraceae bacterium. RNAcentral's name for it is "partial 16S ribosomal RNA". It matches the Rfam family "Bacterial small subunit ribosomal RNA", at positions 341 to 792 of the family's 1533-position model. The record is from RNAcentral. Lineage: Bacteria; Bacillati; Bacillota; Clostridia; Lachnospirales; Lachnospiraceae.
ACGGAAGGCAGCAGUGGGGAAUAUUGCACAAUGGGGGAAACCCUGAUGUAGCGACGCCGCGUGAGUGAAGAAGUAUUUCGGUAUGUAAAGCUCUAUCAGCAAGGAAGAAAAUGACGGUACUUGACUAAGAAGCCCCGGCUAACUACGUGCCAGCAGCCGCGGUAAUACGUAGGGGGCAAGCGUUAUCCGGAUUUACUGGGUGUAAAGGGAGCGUAGACGGUGAGGCAAGUCUGAAGUGAAAUGCGGAGGCUCAACCUCCGAACUGCUUUGGAAACUGUCUAACUUGAGUGCAGGAGAGGUAAGUGGAAUUCCUAGUGUAGCGGUGAAAUGCGUAGAUAUUAGGAGGAACACCAGUGGCGAAGGCGGCUUACUGGACUGUAACUGACGUUGAGGCUCGAAAGCGUGGGGAGCAAACAGGAUUAGAUACCCUGGUA